UUAUGGCUCAGGAUGAACGCUAGCGGCAGGCCUAAUACAUGCAAGUCGAACGGGAUUGCCUCCUCGGGAGGCAUGAGAGUGGCGCACGGGUGCGCAACGCGUAUGCAACCAACCCCCGACAGGCGGAUAGCCGGUGGAAACGCCGGAUAAUACGCCAUGGUUCCGUGGGAGGGCAUCCUCCUGGGGAUAAAGCCGAGAGGCGGUCGGGGACGGGCAUGCGUCCCAUUAGAUGGUAGGCGGGGUGACGGCCCACCUAGUCCGCGAUGGGUAGGGGAUCUGAGAGGACGGUCCCCCACACUGGUACUGAGACACGGACCAGACUCCUGCGGGAGGCAGCAGUAAGGGAUAUUGGUCAAUGGGGGCAACCCUGAACCAGCCAUGCCGCGUGAGGGAAUGAGGCCCUACGGGUCGUGAACCUCUUUUAUUCGGGGACAAGGACGCGGUCGCGAACCGUGUUUGAGGGUACCGAAGGAAUAAGCAUCGGCUAACUCCGUGCCAGCAGCUGC
This 506-nucleotide ribosomal RNA is filed under the name uncultured bacterium. Its description in RNAcentral is "bacterial SSU rRNA". It matches the Rfam family "Bacterial small subunit ribosomal RNA", at positions 17 to 518 of the family's 1533-position model. The record is from RNAcentral.